This 397-nucleotide ribosomal RNA is filed under the name uncultured bacterium. RNAcentral describes it as "bacterial SSU rRNA". It matches the Rfam family "Bacterial small subunit ribosomal RNA", at positions 359 to 773 of the family's 1533-position model. The record is from RNAcentral.
GAAUAUUGGACAAUGGGCGCAAGCCUGAUCCAGCCAUGCCGCGUGAGUGAUGAAGGCCUUAGGGUUGUAAAGCUCUUUCGCUGGGGAAGAUAAUGACGGUACCCAGAGCAGAAGCCCCGGCUAACUUCGUGCCAGCAGCCGCGGUAAUACGAAGGGGGCUAGCGUUGUUCGGAAUUACUGGGCGUAAAGCGCACGUAGGCGGACUUGUCAGUCAGAGGUGAAAUCCCGAAGCUUAACUUCGGAACUGCCUUUGAUACUGCAAGUCUUGAGGAUGAGAGAGGUAAGUGGAACUGCGAGUGUAGAGGUGAAAUUCGUAGAUAUUCGCAAGAACACCAGUGGCGAAGGCGGCUUACUGGCUCAUUUCUGACGCUGAGGUGCGAAAGCGUGGGGAGCAAAC